Molecule: small nucleolar RNA, 108 nt
Organism: Nannospalax galili (Upper Galilee mountains blind mole rat)
Lineage: Eukaryota; Metazoa; Chordata; Mammalia; Rodentia; Spalacidae
Source: Ensembl
GAGCCCCCGCCGUGCCUCCUUGUGUUGUGGGGGCCAUAGCACGUUGCUCGUGCAUAACUGGGGCCGCCUGCCCAUCACGGGUGGCCCUUUUAACCACCAACUACAGGG